ACCGUUGAGGUUCUAAGUUCUAAGUCCUCAUUCUAAGAUCUUCUACCGUUGAGGUUCUAAGUCCUCAUUCUAAGAUCUUCUACCGUUGAGGUUCUAAGUUCUAAGUCCUCAUUCUAAGAUCUUCUACCGUUGAGGUUCUAAGUUCUAAGUCCUCAUUCUAAGAUCUUCUACCGUUGAGGUUCUAAGUCGUCGUUCUAAGAUCUUCUACCGUUGAGGUUCUCUCAUUCUAAGAUCUUCUACCGUUGAUGUUCUAAGUUCUAAGUCCUCAUUCUAAUGUCUUCUCCCGUUGAUGUUCUAAGUUCUAAGAUCUUCUACCGUUGAUGUUCUAAGUUCUAAGUCCUCAUUCUA
Long non-coding RNA from Clupea harengus (Atlantic herring), 348 nucleotides. NCBI's taxonomy places the organism in Eukaryota, Metazoa, Chordata, Actinopteri, Clupeiformes, Clupeidae. The record is from Ensembl.